CAACAACUUCUUCUGCUUCUUCCACUACCACUUCAUCUUCAUCUUCUUCUUCUUCUUCUGCAGAAGCCUUAAAGCUUGCUUCUCACCAUCCCCGUCCA
This 98-nucleotide small RNA is filed under the name Arabidopsis thaliana (thale cress). RNAcentral describes it as "ATSL251490". Lineage: Eukaryota; Viridiplantae; Streptophyta; Magnoliopsida; Brassicales; Brassicaceae. The record is from RNAcentral.